RNAcentral lists this ribosomal RNA (468 nucleotides) under uncultured bacterium. RNAcentral's name for it is "partial 16S ribosomal RNA". It matches the Rfam family "Bacterial small subunit ribosomal RNA", at positions 28 to 507 of the family's 1533-position model. The record is from RNAcentral.
GACGAACGCUGGCGGCGUGCUUAACACAUGCAAGUCGAACGGAAAGACCCUGCUUUUGUGGGGUGCUCGAGUGGCGAACGGGUGAGUAACACGUGAGUAACCUGCCCUUGACUUUGGGAUAACUUCAGGAAACUGGGGCUAAUACCGGAUAGGAGCUCCUGCUGCAUGGUGGGGGUUGGAAAGUUUCGGCGGUUGGUGAUGGACUCGCGGCUUAUCAGCUUGUUGGUGGGGUAGUGGCUUACCAAGGCUUUGACGGGUAGCCGGCCUGAGAGGGUGACCGGCCACAUUGGGACUGAGAUACGGCCCAGACUCCUACGGGAGGCAGCAGUGGGGAAUAUUGCACAAUGGGCGGAAGCCUGAUGCAGCAACGCCGCGUGCGGGAUGACGGCCUUCGGGUUGUAAACCGCUUUCGCCUGUGACGAAGCGUGAGUGACGGUAAUGGGUAAAGAAGCACCGGCUAACUACGUG